CACGUAGGGGGCGAGCGUUGUCCGGAUUUAUUGGGCGUAAAGAGCUCGUAGGCGGCUCACUAAGUCGGGUGUGAAAUUUCGAGGCUCAACCUCGAAACGCCACCCGAUACUGGUGUGGCUAGAGUCCGGUAGGGGAGCGUGGAAUUCCUGGUGUAGCGGUGAAAUGCGCAGAUAUCAGGAGGAACACCAGCGGCGAAGGCGGCGCUCUGGGCCGGUACUGACGCUGAGGAGCGAAAGCGUGGGGAUCAAACAGG
Molecule: ribosomal RNA, 254 nt
Filed under: uncultured bacterium
Lineage: Bacteria
Description: partial 16S ribosomal RNA
Rfam family: Bacterial small subunit ribosomal RNA
Source: RNAcentral